This is a regulatory RNA element of Psychromonas ingrahamii 37, 91 nucleotides long. It matches the Rfam family "c-di-GMP-I riboswitch aptamer". From Rfam's summary of the family: GEMM was predicted in a large-scale screen for bacterial structured RNA regulatory elements. Lineage: Bacteria; Pseudomonadati; Pseudomonadota; Gammaproteobacteria; Alteromonadales; Psychromonadaceae. The record is from Rfam.
GCUGGAAAAAAGCAAAUUAAGGGAAACCUUAAUACGCAAAACCACCGGCCUGUUGAUUGACUAUUUAGUCUAUGGCAGCGGAGUUACCAAG